UACGGGGGGGGCAAGCGUUGUUCGGAAUUACUGGGCGUAAAGGGCUCGUAGGCGGCCAACUCAGUCGGACGUGAAAUCCCUCGGCUUAACCGGGGAAUGGCGUCCGAUACUGGAUGGCUUGAGUUUGGGAGAGGGAUGCGGAAUUCCAGGUGUAGCGGUGAAAUGCGUAGAUAUCUGGAGGAACACCGGUGGCGAAGGCGGCAUUCUGGACUGCAACUGACACUGAAGAACGAAAGCCAGGGGAGCAAACGGG
RNAcentral lists this ribosomal RNA (253 nucleotides) under uncultured bacterium. RNAcentral describes it as "partial 16S ribosomal RNA". It matches the Rfam family "Bacterial small subunit ribosomal RNA", at positions 524 to 776 of the family's 1533-position model. The record is from RNAcentral.